CGGUUGAUAGCUUAUAAGGUAAAGCAUGUGGCUCAUAACUACAAAGUAGUUGGUUCAAGCCCAUCUCAACCGA
This 73-nucleotide transfer RNA is filed under the name Amphimedon compressa (erect rope sponge). RNAcentral describes it as "tRNA-Ile". It matches the Rfam family "tRNA". Rfam says of the family: Transfer RNA (tRNA) molecules are approximately 80 nucleotides in length. Their secondary structure includes four short double-helical elements and three loops (D, anti-codon, and T loops). The record is from RNAcentral. Lineage: Eukaryota; Metazoa; Porifera; Demospongiae; Haplosclerida; Niphatidae.